UACGUAGGGGGCAAGCGUUGUUCGGAAUUACUGGGCGUAAAGGGCGCGUAGGCGGCACAGCAAGUCGGGAGUGAAAGCCCGGGGCUCAACCCCGGAAUGGCUUUCGAAACUGCUGAGCUAGAGUACAGAAGGGGCAACCGGAAUUCCCAGUGUAGCGGUGAAAUGCGUAGAUAUUGGGAAGAACACCAGAGGCGAAGGCGGGUUGCUGGGCUGAUACUGACGCUGAGGCGCGAAAGCCAGGGGAGCAAACGGG
This 253-nucleotide ribosomal RNA is filed under the name uncultured bacterium. RNAcentral's name for it is "partial 16S ribosomal RNA". It matches the Rfam family "Bacterial small subunit ribosomal RNA", at positions 524 to 776 of the family's 1533-position model. The record is from RNAcentral.